AUCUAAUUAGUUUAAGUAAAAUAUUAAAUUGUGGUUUUAAAGAUGAGGUUGACAUUAGAUA
RNAcentral lists this transfer RNA (61 nucleotides) under Alectorobius capensis. Its description in RNAcentral is "tRNA-His". Lineage: Eukaryota; Metazoa; Arthropoda; Arachnida; Ixodida; Argasidae. The record is from RNAcentral.